RNAcentral lists this ribosomal RNA (400 nucleotides) under uncultured bacterium. Its description in RNAcentral is "bacterial SSU rRNA". It matches the Rfam family "Bacterial small subunit ribosomal RNA", at positions 30 to 433 of the family's 1533-position model. The record is from RNAcentral.
AUUGAACGCUGGCGGCAGGCCUAACACAUGCAAGUCGAGCGGAUGAAAGGGGCUUGCUCCUGGAUUCAGCGGCGGACGGGUGAGUAAUACGCAGGAAUCUACCUAGUAGUGGGGGAUAACGUUUCGAAAGGGGCGCUAAUACCGCAUACGUUCUGAGGAAGAAAGCAGGGGAUCGCAAGACCUUGCGCUAUUAGAUGAGCUUGCGUCCGAUUAGCUAGUUGGUGGGGUAAAGGCCUACCAAGGCGACGAUCGGUAACUGGUCUGAGAGGAUGAUCAGUCACACUGGAACUGAGACACGGUCCAGACUCCUACGGGAGGCAGCAGUGGGGAAUAUUGGACAAUGGGGGCAACCCUGAUCCAGCCAUGCCGCGUGUGUGAAGAAGGCCUCGGUUGUAAGUAC